This 899-nucleotide long non-coding RNA is filed under the name Pomacea canaliculata. Its description in RNAcentral is "uncharacterized LOC112555270, transcript variant X2". The record is from RNAcentral. Lineage: Eukaryota; Metazoa; Mollusca; Gastropoda; Architaenioglossa; Ampullariidae.
UUACGUGAAUACAUGUGUGCAGUGCGGGACGUCUGUUCCAAUAUGUUUGUUGACUGUUGUAGUGUGCAUACUGUUGUCACUGUACUCUGUGUGUGUGUGCGCGCUUUUAUGCUUGUGGAUGUCAAACAGUGUGUGCAUGAAGCUGUAUGAAUGCUCGGUCUCUAUUGUGAUACACAGAGACUUAAAGAAUAAAUACAGACCUUUUUUACCACUGUGUUACACAAGUCUUGCGUACCUUGCCUCUAUUCAAACCGUUUGGCAGAAUGGAGUUUCCCUAAGUUAUUCCUAGCGACGAUCAACUGUCCUCAUUGUGUCUUAAACAACAUUUGCGUCGGACUGAUGACGGGAAGAUAAGCUCUACACUCGUCUGACUGACCCGCCGAUAUUCGAUGGACCAGUAAUAGAACAGAACGCCUUCUACUUCACCUGUGACCUGACCUUCGGCGGCAGUAACCCCAAUCAAGCCUUUGAGUUCGUCUCAAAACAUGCAGCAAAAAUGUAUUUGGCUUGUAGAGCAGAAAAUAGAAAAAUGACCUCAUCCACAGUGCCGAAAAAAAAAGUCCAUCAAUCGAUUUUAUAUCACAGCUACCAUCGAUGGCCGUCGAUAUAGCAACGCGGUGAAUGUGACUGUCUACGAACUCAAUCCGAAGGAUAACUCGCAGGUGGCUUGUCGUGCGCGCUCAAUUUUCACUGACCGUGAUGUUUUCAGUCCCUAUAUGGUCAGCAAUAUUAUCUCAAUGGCAGGUCCCUGAUAGCAGGAGAAAAACUGUCACAGUAUGACGUGUCAGGAAGGUUUGAUGAAAGUUCUUUUUUGGAUGCAGUAAUCAGACAACAAAAAUGUUGGAACAUGGAAAGUGUCUUCUGUACGUCAAUGUUAACAAUAAAAAAGGUUGUAAAAA